AUGUUAUUCUUUGUGAGUCCGUUGGCUUUUUUUUUGCCUGCGUCCAGGGAGGAGGCCCUGGAGGCAUCUCUUAUCCAGAGAACAGAGACAGGGAGAACGAUGGAGUGGAGCGGUGCCAGGGCUCAAUCAUUUAGAAAGAUUAUUGGAUGUUUGUCUCCCAGAUUCAGUUCCCUCUACUGUCAUAUCUCCUUUUGCAAUUUGCUGCAUGCACUUUAUUCACAACAGAAAUAUUUUUUCUUAUCAAUUGAAAAGGAAUCGAUAGCUGGACAAGCGGUGGGUGCAUUUUACCGAAAUGGAACUAAAAGAUCUUAA
This 312-nucleotide ribosomal RNA is filed under the name Triticum aestivum (bread wheat). Its description in RNAcentral is "partial small subunit ribosomal RNA". Lineage: Eukaryota; Viridiplantae; Streptophyta; Magnoliopsida; Poales; Poaceae. The record is from RNAcentral.